This is a non-coding RNA of Struthio camelus australis, 1277 nucleotides long. Lineage: Eukaryota; Metazoa; Chordata; Aves; Struthioniformes; Struthionidae. The record is from RefSeq and is a predicted model, not a curated record.
UAACGGCAGCUCAAUUUGCAGCCCCGGGGAGCGGAUCUAAUUGCCGAAGGUGUCAGCAGAGACGGGGCCGCCGUGUCGGCCCGGGUGUGAUUGCAGGGGUGUGAUUGCGGGGGCUCCCCCGCCUCGUGCCAGCUCCCUCCUUCCUGCCCGCUGCCAAAAAGGCUUAUUCCCCGCCGCUUAGUUCUGCUGCCAAAUUACAAAUGCAUCUCGGAGACCACCAGAGCUUUAGAAAAAGCACAAAAAGCCACCUGGCAGCUCUACCUCCGUGCCGCCGCGCGCUGGCUCUGCAGGGCUGCGAUUCCUGCGAGGAGGGAGCCCGCACGGAUUGAUUUCACGGCCCAGGCACUGCCAGGAAAUCGGCAUUAUCGCUGUCUGGUGCUGGCGCUGUUAUUUUUUUGCAGCAUAUAGCUCAAAACUCUCGGCACGGCUCCUUCUGAUCCUGGCCCAGGGGAAAGAUCUUGGAGCAAUAAACCUUCGUUCUCCCCGUCUUACGGAGAAGAUCCGAAGUGGAAGUGCUGCCUGCCAUUGUCCAAGCCCACAGGGAAUUUGUUGCAAGAGGAAAAGCCAACAGAAGCUGAAAAUAUCCUAGACACCACAGAAAACCACAUCAGGGACAAGAAUGGCAAACUCGGAGCUACAGAGAGAUCCUCUCUGAUGCAUUAGCAGAAAUGCAACAGAAAAUUCAAUUUCUGCCCUCCCCUUGCGCCCUUUAUUCUUCAGGCAAAGGCAGAGCUACGGGCGAGACCGAGGCAGAACAGGUUGGACAGUUUUAAUAUUUCAAUCACUAAAUUUUUUUGUAGGGUUCUGCUCACUCCCAACUUCAAGUGUUUUUUUUUUUUUAAAGAUACUCCAUUUCAUUAUUUACAUUGGUGCCUUCUAUACGUUUGCUAUCAUUCAGCACCAACCUCAACAGCAGAUGAUAAUAGGAUUGUAAACUUUUGAAGUUAAUAGGAAAAUUAUAGUGCUUCCGUGUAUUAUUAUAAUGCAGUAAGCUGCCACAUAGUGUCUCUCACCCUGCAGGGUAUCACGGCUUGUCACCCAGCCUGGGAAGGCAAUGAUUAAAGCCCCAUGAAAUUCGCAGUGUCACAAAAGUCUUAAGAACCAUGAAAUUCUCUGUUUUCCAUUAAAAAACUGCAUUUUGACGUAUUUUUAAGAGCGACCUGUUAAUUCUCGAUGUGCUGCAGUGGCGCGAAGGGCUCGUGCGGACAGGCCCACUCUGCAUAAUAUCUUAAAAAAAAAAAAAAAAAAAAAAUUUUUUUUUCCUGCCUCCCCCGGGC